CAUCCUCUUCUUGAAUGAUGCAAAUCCCUAAUUAAAACCCUCUGGUAGACAUCAGAGUUUAGGGGUUUUUUAGGGUUUAUUAGGGUUUUUUUUUAUGGUUUUUAGAUUUUUUAGGGAUUUUUAGGGGUUUUUAGGUGUUUGUUAUUAGAUGGUUUUUAGGGUUGCCAUGGAUUUCCACUGCGGUACACGCAGGUGUAUUCCGCGUACCCCCAGUUGCUCCACACAUCCAGUUUGAUCCUUUAUUACAUUAACAGCAUGCAGCAAGUGGAGCUGCUGCAGGAGCUGGAGCAGGCUCAUGAGCAGCUCAUGGAGAACCGCACGGCCACGGCCAGGGAGUCUUUGUUGAAGAAUGCCCAGCAAAUACGGGCUGAAAGAACGGCUGCCCGUAAAGAGGAGCUGGAGCAGGUAGGGGGCAGUGAGGGCUCGUCCUCACAGCUCGGCAUCCUCACGCCUCCCUGCUGUGGCAGAGACCUCCUCGCGUCCCUAAUCCCCGGCGUACCUGGGACCAACCGCAGCCACCUGGUGGGUUAUCUACUCCGCUCCGCUUUGGUCUUGAGAGCAGCACUCAUUGCCCAGCCUGGAAGAGCAGCUCGCACGUGCUGA
This 603-nucleotide long non-coding RNA is filed under the name Coturnix japonica (Japanese quail). RNAcentral's name for it is "lncRNA (ENSCJPG00005000605.1)". Lineage: Eukaryota; Metazoa; Chordata; Aves; Galliformes; Phasianidae. The record is from RNAcentral.